AUCGAACGCUGGCGGCAAGCCUAACACAUGCAAGUCGAACGAGUGGCGGACGGGUGCGUAAUUUCUGGGAAACUGCCUGAUGGAGGGGGAUAACUACUGGAACAGGUAGCUAAUACCGCAUACCAUCGGAUGUGCCCAGAUGGGAUUAGCUAGUAGGUGGGGUAAAGGCUGACCAAGGCGACGCUCCCUAGCUGGUCUGAGAGGAUGACCAGCCACACUGGGACUGAGAAACGGUCCAGACUCCUACGGGAGGCAACAGUGGGGAAGAGUGCGCAAGGGGCGCAAGCCUGAUGCAGCCAGGCCGCGUGUAUGAAGAAGGCACUAGGAUUGUAGAGUACUGUCAGCAGAGAAGCGUUACCCGCCGAAGAAGCACCGGCUAACUCCGUGCCAGCAGCCGCGGUAAUAC
RNAcentral lists this ribosomal RNA (406 nucleotides) under uncultured bacterium. Its description in RNAcentral is "partial 16S ribosomal RNA". It matches the Rfam family "Bacterial small subunit ribosomal RNA", at positions 29 to 526 of the family's 1533-position model. The record is from RNAcentral.